CCGGCAUGCUGGCCGCCGCUCUGCUGACGGCCACGGCGGCCCUGGCCGAACCGGCUGACUGACGCACGGCUGGCCGAGGUUGUGCGGCUGGCUCUGGGCUGGCUGCCUAGCUGCAGUGUGCCGGUGCGGCUGGCCGUCGUCACUCUCCUCAGGGUCACUGCAGGUCGAGAGCUCCGGCCCGGACCCGGCCGCGCCGUCUCGGCAGAUGUGCUGCCCGAGCUGUACCGAUGCCUGCUGACGGACGGGGAUCGACUGGUCCGCCAGCGCGCCCUGGAAGCGUUCGCCAG
This is a long non-coding RNA of Pollicipes pollicipes, 287 nucleotides long. RefSeq lists it as uncharacterized. The record is from RefSeq and is a predicted model, not a curated record. Lineage: Eukaryota; Metazoa; Arthropoda; Thecostraca; Pollicipedomorpha; Pollicipedidae. The transcript is spliced from 3 exons.